RNAcentral lists this ribosomal RNA (344 nucleotides) under uncultured Veillonellaceae bacterium. Its description in RNAcentral is "partial 16S ribosomal RNA". Lineage: Bacteria; Bacillati; Bacillota; Negativicutes; Veillonellales; Veillonellaceae. The record is from RNAcentral.
GGAGUCUGGGCCGUGUCUCAGUCCCAAUGUGGCCGUCCACCCUCUCAGGCCGGCUACCGAUCGUCGCCUUGGUGGGCCGUCGCCCCGCCAACCAGCUAAUCGGACGCGGGCCCAUCGGAGAGCGGAUGUUUCCAUCCUUUGGCACACCGGACAUGCGUCCGAUAUGCAACAUCCGGUAUUAGCACCCCUUUCGGGAUGUUGUCCCCGUCUCUCCGGCAGGUUGCCCACGCGUUACUCACCCGUUUGCCACUAGGCUUUAAAAAGCAAGCUUUCUAUCGCCCCGUUCGACUUGCAUGUGUUAAGCACGCCGCCAGCGUUCGUCCUCGAGCCAUGAUCAAACUACU